This is a long non-coding RNA of Saccostrea cuccullata (small rock oyster), 577 nucleotides long. RefSeq lists it as uncharacterized. Lineage: Eukaryota; Metazoa; Mollusca; Bivalvia; Ostreida; Ostreidae. The record is from RefSeq and is a predicted model, not a curated record. The transcript is spliced from 3 exons.
GGAGAUGGGAUGUCCAUGCAGCUAAGGAAUUCUAUAACCUUCUCAGCUCCUAGUGAAGUGUCCUGAAGGGCAUAUGCCAGGGCCAUGUUUGAUGCUGAUGCUUUGCGUCCAGGACCCCCUUGAUGAAUUUCUUGGAAUAGGGCAAACUCGGUUUGAUGGACGUGGCCGCAGAAUGCAGGUUGAUCCGCUCUCACCGUCGCAGUCCGGAGUUUGGUAUGAAUGGCUGUCGAGACUUGGUUUGGUGACCAGGGCAUGAUCUGUUGAAUUCAGCCUGACAAAUGAUCUUCGACCAGAAUUUGGCUGUUUUUCCAUCUUGAAGCCGUGGCUAUUUCCUUGAUGAAAUCCUCCUUGCCUUGGGAGCUUCCUCUUGCAGAGUUGCUUCCCUUUGUUCCAGGGAACCAUAUUUUUCUUAAACAUGAUGGAGAUCCAGUCAUCACUGAAAAGGGCCAUAACUCUGCUGUUCAGAUGACAAAUCCAAUGAGACUUCAGAGGGGUGUGUAGUAUGGCUUUAGAAGAUUCUGUGCCAAUUUUCAUCAAAAUCAAAGAAGGUUAGUGUCUUUAUUAGGUUACAGGAUAC